GUCUACGGCCAUGCUACUCUGAACAAGCCCAAUCCUGUCUGAUCUCAGAAGCUAAGCAGGGUCGGGCCUGGUUAGUACUUGGAUGGGAGACCACUUAGGAAGACCAGGUGCUGUAGGCG
Molecule: ribosomal RNA, 119 nt
Filed under: Pteropus alecto (black flying fox)
Lineage: Eukaryota; Metazoa; Chordata; Mammalia; Chiroptera; Pteropodidae
Source: RNAcentral